GCAUAAUCAAUAGUUUUUUAAUUGAGAACUGGAAUGAAGGGUAGUUACUAAAAAGAAAGUUUUAUUAAAAAAAUUUUUGAACUUAAAUUAGAAGUAAGAAUGCUUUUAUUACUCCUUAGGACGAGAAGACCCUAGAAGCUUUUUUAGAUAAAAAUAUCUAUUAGAUUGGGGCAAUUAAUGAAGAAAAAUAUUUUUAUAACUAUUAGUUAAAUUAGAUGGUAAGUUACUCUAGGGAUAACAGCGUUAUUUAAUUUACAAGUUCUUAUUAAUAAUUAAGCUUGCGACCUCGAUGUUGAAUUAAUA
Molecule: ribosomal RNA, 303 nt
Filed under: Mitobates pulcher
Lineage: Eukaryota; Metazoa; Arthropoda; Arachnida; Opiliones; Gonyleptidae
Description: partial 16S ribosomal RNA
Source: RNAcentral